RNAcentral lists this ribosomal RNA (159 nucleotides) under Peronospora sp. UASWS0252. RNAcentral's name for it is "5.8S ribosomal RNA". It matches the Rfam family "5.8S ribosomal RNA". Rfam says of the family: 5.8S ribosomal RNA (5.8S rRNA) is a component of the large subunit of the eukaryotic ribosome. It is transcribed by RNA polymerase I as part of the 45S precursor that also contains 18S and 28S rRNA. Lineage: Eukaryota; Oomycota; Peronosporomycetes; Peronosporales; Peronosporaceae. The record is from RNAcentral. RNAcentral also lists the same sequence under 1 other name.
CAACUUUCAGCAGUGGAUGUCUAGGCUCGCACAUCGAUGAACAACGCUGCCAACUGGGAUACGUAAUGCGAAUUGCAGGAUUCAGUGAGUCAUCGAAAUUUUGAACGCAUAUUGCACUUCCGGGUUAGUCCUGGAAGUAUGCCUGUAUCAGUGUCCGUA